ACGCUCGACACCUACGGGGGGCAGCAGUGGGGAAUAUUGCACAAUGGGGGAAACCCUGAUGCAGCAACGCCGCGUGAAGGAAGACGGUUUUCGGAUUGUAAACUUCUGUUCUUAGUGAAGAUAGUGACGGUAGCUAAGGAGCAAGCCACGGCUAACUACGCGCCAGCAGCCGCGGUAAUCUGAGCGGGCUGGCAAGGC
RNAcentral lists this ribosomal RNA (198 nucleotides) under uncultured bacterium. RNAcentral describes it as "partial 16S ribosomal RNA". It matches the Rfam family "Bacterial small subunit ribosomal RNA", at positions 328 to 539 of the family's 1533-position model. The record is from RNAcentral.